UCUGGAAAAUAACCCACCCCAUAAACCCUAAAUCAAACAAAAGCAUAAAGCCUUGCGCAUUGCAUCUGCAGUAUACUCGCGCCGGAGAUCCCACCCCGGCAUGGCUUCUCAAAUGAGCAAAAAGAGAAAGUUCGUAGCAGAUGGAGUGUUCUAUGCGGAGUUGAACGAGGUGUUGACUCGUGAGCUGGCGGAGGAUGGAUACUCUGGCGUGGAGGUCAGGGUAACUCCCAUGAGGACAGAAAUCAUUAUCCGAGCCACUCGCACCCAGAAUGUUCUCGUAUUGGACUGUUUCGUUUAGUGUUGGUGUAGAAAUUUAGUGGAUAGGGUUCUCAGAAGGGUUCUUCUGAUUCGUUUAGGCGAGAAGGGGAAGAGGAUUAGAGAGCUUACGUCGGUGGUGCAGAAGAGAUUUAAGUUUCCGGAGAACAGCGUGGAGUUGUAUGCCGAGAAGGUUAACAACAGGGCACUCUGUGCCAUUGCUCAAGCUGAGUCGCUUCGAUACAAGCUGCUCGGUGGCCUU
Coffea arabica (coffee) is the source of this 517-nucleotide non-coding RNA. NCBI's taxonomy places the organism in Eukaryota, Viridiplantae, Streptophyta, Magnoliopsida, Gentianales, Rubiaceae. The record is from RefSeq and is a predicted model, not a curated record.